AAUGAAGGGGAUGAUGUUUUCCUGUGUGAGUAUGAAUAUGACAUACAAUGGCACAAUUUCAAGCGUCUGGCAGAGAUU
Small nucleolar RNA from Impatiens glandulifera, 78 nucleotides. RefSeq annotates it as small nucleolar RNA snoR28. The record is from RefSeq and is a predicted model, not a curated record. The transcript has a single exon. NCBI's taxonomy places the organism in Eukaryota, Viridiplantae, Streptophyta, Magnoliopsida, Ericales, Balsaminaceae.